This 983-nucleotide long non-coding RNA is filed under the name Mus musculus (house mouse). Its description in RNAcentral is "long non-coding RNA chrX:135982662-135983645". The record is from RNAcentral. Lineage: Eukaryota; Metazoa; Chordata; Mammalia; Rodentia; Muridae.
AAGCAGAGUCUGAGGUGUGGGAAUGCUGGAGAUGGUUCGGGAGUCCCGGGCCUGCAACGAUGCUGGGGCCAUGGGGUUCUCAGGCUCUUGGACAUCCAGGUGCUGCUGGGAUUUGCAGAAGAGCAGAGAAUGGAGUGGGGAGAGGGGCCAUGGGCUGGGGACAGCGGCUAGCCCAGGGCCAGGGGAAAGGGGAGCUCUGGCUUGUCCCAUGGGUGAUUGUCCUUAGCUUGGUGGGGGCAGGCUAGGUGGAAGUCGUGGCUGGGAGCGCAGAGAGGUCUUCUAUGGGAGAAUUAAGCUGCAUCUCUGCUGUCAGUGUCUUCUCUGAGGCUCCCCUUGGUGGAUCUUGGUGAAGAGACACUCCACGGUUUAUUGUCAGUUUAUUGUCAUGGCAGUUUAUUGUCAUGGCAGAAUAUGGGUACGUAAAACCAUACCCCACUUCUCAGGGUGGGCCUGAGAUUAAAUGCCUUUUGCAGGAAGGAAUGUCUGGGAAGGGAAGCUUAUUGGCUAAGCCCUUCGGGUCUCUAGGUACCUCAUUAGCAUAGAGAACUCUAUUUGGGCCUACAUGACCAAUGAACACAUUUCUUUAAGUGAGGAGUGUGGCAUGUGUUCUAGGCCAGGAGUCUGGCAGGGAGCUGGGAGUCGCCUAAGUCUCCUGUGUGUGCCCACUGAGUCUCUGGGUCUCAACCCGCUCUACCUUACCAAACUUCCUGGCAUGGAUUUAUGCCCCACACCCAGGUGUUUGGAACCCCCAGGUGCUCAUGUGUUCAAAUAAUAGACACCACAGAGAACAAGAAAACAGUCACCUACCGGAGUGGAGUCAACAGGUAGAAUACUGAAAGAAUGAUGGCUAUACUGACAGACAUAAAUAGCAAAAAUAUUAUGUUUUUAGUAAACGUUCCUCCCCCAUGUGAUUUGCUGUUAUUAAAUGAGAAUUGAAUUAUUUUAUCCUGUGAGGCUCAAUAAAGCUUUCCUAUAAUUUUAAC